Gossypium arboreum is the source of this 280-nucleotide long non-coding RNA. RefSeq lists it as uncharacterized. The transcript is spliced from 2 exons. The record is from RefSeq and is a predicted model, not a curated record. Lineage: Eukaryota; Viridiplantae; Streptophyta; Magnoliopsida; Malvales; Malvaceae.
AGGAAAUGAAAACGAAAAUAGAGAAGACACAGGGGAGAAAGAAGAAAGAAAAGGGGAAAUAGGGUCUAUGAAGCUUGGAGUUAAUUGCCAACAAAGAACCUGAAGCAUCAGCAUCGAAAGGAAAGGAGAAAGUCAUCGAGGACUAAAACGGGAGAAUUACGUUGUGUAUUACUAUAAUUCGAAUUUUAAUUAUUAUUGAUUGCUGAAAUUUUAAUUGUUAUGUAUGGUAAAUAAGACUUGAGGUAAGUAUGUGAAAUUAAAAUUAGAAAAAGUAAAAUAA